AUGACCAAAACUCAAGCACAGAGGAAAAAAAUUACCAUGAGCAGGGAGCAGUUCAUGAUGGUAACUAUUAUUGACUUUUCAUUGUUCCAAGGAGUCAACUAUAUGUUUCGUGCUCACAUGUCAUGCUUCCAAAAUUUGCAUAGGCUGUUCCUUGUUGGUGCUAUGGAAGGCAUGACGGAUGGGCGUGUUUGGUGGAUAGGUGGGUCGGUGACGAUCCAGAGUUUGUUGCCAAGAGCAUCAAGGCCCGGGCUAACCGUGGAAAAGACGGGACACACGGCCAAGGAAACAGGAACCACUGGGGCUUCAAGGCCAUGA
This 315-nucleotide ribosomal RNA is filed under the name Triticum aestivum (bread wheat). RNAcentral's name for it is "partial small subunit ribosomal RNA". Lineage: Eukaryota; Viridiplantae; Streptophyta; Magnoliopsida; Poales; Poaceae. The record is from RNAcentral.